UAAGUAGGCAGUGAAAUCUGGUGGCUCAACCAUUCAGGCUAUUGCCUAAACUGUUAAGCUCGAGACCGUUAGGGGUAACUGGAAUUUCUAGUGUAGGAGUGAAAUCCGUAGAUAUUAGAAAGAACACCGAUAGCGUAGGCAGGUUACUGGGACGGUUCUGACACUAAGGCACGAAAGCGUAGGGAGCAAACGGGAUUAGAUACCCCGGUAGUCUACGCCGUAAACGAUGGAUACUA
Molecule: ribosomal RNA, 236 nt
Filed under: uncultured Candidatus Saccharibacteria bacterium
Lineage: Bacteria; Candidatus Saccharimonadota
Description: partial 16S ribosomal RNA
Rfam family: Bacterial small subunit ribosomal RNA
Source: RNAcentral